AAACCCAAAAUCUACUUUUUUCUAUUGAGAAAAGAAUAUUUCUAGUAUUCAUUAUUACCUUUGGUGUGUACACAUGUGGACCAAGUAAUUGCUCUUCUAGCUUAACUAUACAUUUCUCUUUGUUUAGAAAAGGCUUGAGAUCUAUUUCUGGACACCGAGAGCCUACUAUGUUGCCAAAGAUCUUUGUAAGACAUUUAUAAGAAAGAAGAGCUCACUUGAUUCAUAAUGGAAAUUUGAGUUUUGAAAAUGAAAGUCUCAAAUCUACCUUAAGAGUAUCAGAAUUAUUUUCCUCCUUAACAUGCAGUGAUAGUCUAGAAUAAUUUUAUCACCACCUGGAGUAAACAAUAAGCAACCGCGCAAAGAAGAGAUUCUAUGAUGUCACAAUGGUACUGUUAGGCGAUAGAAUACUCAUAGAUGAGGAGCUGUAGAAGAGACCAGCUAAGAUAGGAUCAGCCUAGGCCUAUUUGAGUCCCUGCCAGAAAUGUUCGACAUCAUCCCACCAACCAAGAAAAUAGCCUGCUUCUCGCUUGACAGAUCAAGGAAGAAGGAAGUGGAGGAGACAACAGAACAACAAGAUCUGCCGAAAGGACAUCCAGGACCUGGUGGCCGCUGCCCAAGCCAUGUGCCCUCCCAAUACCCAACAACCGGAGAUUCUUUGCUAGGGAGACCUAAGACAAACACAGCAAAAUCAUAGGAAGCCAGGACUGCCCACUUGAAGGAUGCUGAGCCAGGAUGGAGAUUCCUCUAGACCCUGAUUCCAUCUCCACAAUCCCCAGCCCAUUCCUCUGCUUUCCUUAUGGCAACACAUGUGACUGCCUCCAGGAGACCUCCAUCAAUGGAGGUUGCAGACAUUGGGGUGUAGACUCGAAUCCACCAGGCAUGGUAGUGCCAUACUUGACGAUCUUAAAACUCAUUUUCACCUUUCCAGCGCUCCCUGGAGAGAUCAAUGGUGAGGAGUUUUGGUUAGCUCUACCCUAAUGGUUAUGCUAUAUACCCUGCAGUUGACAUAUGUGUCUCUCUCCAGCUUGUCCCUGCCUCCAAAUCAGUCUUUACUGAUGUUAACAUUCUUCAACAGGAAAACCAAAUUCAGAAGGAGGUCUAAGCCACUCCCUCCUUGCAUAGUGUCAUGGUAUUCUAUCCCCAGCACCUCCAGGCUGCAAUUUACCUGCAACAUACACCUGCCCUCUGCCCUCUAACCACUCACCCCAGCUCCUCUCAAUGCUUCUUCUGUGUUUCGCUCUUCUGGCCACUACUGGCAGCUUUUCCUAUUAGAAUCUUGCUCCAUGAACCUCAUGGAGACUUACCCACACGAAGUCACAAAACAUCCCUUUCUUCAAUCUACCCCUACCCUUUUGUUUUAUAGGACCUUCUUCAAGAUCCCAUCCUACAUGUCCCUGUAACAUCACUGUCACAAGUUAAUCUGUGCUAAUCCCCCACCUUCUCUGGUGCAACAACACUACCAGUUCCUGAGUUAUACCCCGUUUUAAAGGCUUCUACACCUCCAUAAUGACUGUUUCCCAGCUUUAUCUCUAUGAGCCUGAAGAACUUACAUUAGAGCUGGGCGAUCUAAAGAAAUGAGAACUCUUCAUCUCUCUUCUCAUGGGUCUUACCAACUUGAUGGAUGCUUCUGGGGCAGUCAGAACAGCCUUCCUCUAAACACAGCAUGGCCAGUGACUUCCAAGAUAAAGUGACAAGGCCAUGGCUUCCACCACAGACAGUCUUGAGUCCCUCCAGUGAUAAAUCACCUCCUUGCAUGGAUUGUUCUCUAAAACUAGAGAGCCCUGGACUUAAGGACUGAUGAACAGGGAGGGAUUUGCCCUGUGUUAGGGGAAAAAUGUUGCUUCUCCAUCAGUAAAUCUGGGCUAGUGGAACCAGACAUACAAAUGCUCAAAGAUCUCAGGUGAGAUCUCUGGGCAUGCUAUGCACCCAACACCCUCUGGUAGAUUGCCUUCUCCCCACCUUUGAACCCAGACUGGACCUUUGGAGCCGUACUGCUCCUGGCGCCCUACUCAUCAGCACCUCUAAACCCGUCGAUUUGAACAUUGCAAGAAUCAAUGCCACCUGGGCUCUGGUUCGGUAUCAAACCAUUCCCCACAUAGAAGCUGACAACUAUGACACCGCUAACCCCAUUAAUAAAAAAAGUGGGGGGAUGUGGGUCAAAUACCAUGGUGGUGGUUGCAGGGGGUGGGGGAGUGACGAGCCUGGAACAAGAGUGAGAUCAAGACAGAUUCAAACCUUGAAAUUCUUACCUUGAGACUAGCAGUAGUAAGGACGGCUCCCUCCCUGUUGUGGGCCUGCAUGCCCCUUGGUAUAUAGCCCUGUGACACUGACGUCCAGCACCUUUGAUGUAGUCAUGUGGCCUGAUAGCCACAUUACAGGUUUAACCUCCUCUCUCCCUUUACAAACGUGUCUAGCAAGCACCGAAAAUUUCUCUUCAGGAGAUCCCAGCAUCUCAGCCCCAGCCAAUAAUGUAUAGUUAUGUUGAAAACUCAAAGCCGCUCCUUGAGGUUUGCACAACUCUUAUUACCUCCAGAAUUAAAGAAUCUGUGAAUAGUGAAAA
Non-coding RNA from Rattus norvegicus (Norway rat), 2560 nucleotides. Lineage: Eukaryota; Metazoa; Chordata; Mammalia; Rodentia; Muridae. The record is from RefSeq and is a predicted model, not a curated record.